RNAcentral lists this ribosomal RNA (556 nucleotides) under uncultured bacterium. RNAcentral describes it as "bacterial SSU rRNA". It matches the Rfam family "Bacterial small subunit ribosomal RNA", at positions 777 to 1341 of the family's 1533-position model. The record is from RNAcentral.
AAUAGAUACCCCGGUAGUCCACGCCGUAAACGAUGGAUGCUAGCUAUUGGGGGGAAUCGACCCCCGUCCGAAGCGAAGCUAACGCGUUAAGCAUCCCGCCUGAGUAGUACGAGCGCAAGCUUAAAACUCAAAGGAAUUGACGGGGACCCGCACAAGCGGUGGAGCGUGUGGUUUAAUUCGAUGGUAAACGAAGAACCUUACCAAGGUUUGACAUCCCGAUAGCCGUUCUCCGAAAGGAGAAUUUCAUUUAGUUGGACCGGUGACAGGUGAUGCAUGGCCGUCGUCAGCUCGUGUCGUGAGAUGUUGGGUUAAGUCCCGCAACGAGCGCAACCCUUAUGAUUUAGUUGGAUUUUUCUAAACAGACUGCCCUGGUAACAGGGAGGAAGGAGGGGAUGAUGUCAGGUCAGUAUUUCCCUUACACCUUGGGCGACACACGCGCUACAAUGGCCGGUACAAUGGGCAGCUAAGCCGCGAGGUGGAGCAAAUCCCAUCAAAGCCGGUCCCAGUUCGGAUUGCAGGCUGAAACCCGCCUGCAUGAAGCCGGAAUCGCUGGUAA